CUGGGGAAUAUUGUAUCUCCGCUACAGAAUGCACUAGCAACUUAUACCCUAAAUGGUAGUGAAUUAGGCAUAACAACACAUGAGAAGGAAUUGGGAAUUGUUACAGACAACAAACUAGGCAACAACAUUCAAUGUCAAUCAGCAGUGGCUAAGGCCAGUAAGGUAUUGUCAUGCAUAAAAAAAAGAGCAUUAAUUCUUGGG
Molecule: non-coding RNA, 201 nt
Organism: Pelobates cultripes (western spadefoot toad)
Lineage: Eukaryota; Metazoa; Chordata; Amphibia; Anura; Pelobatidae
Source: the annotation of a GenBank genome assembly